GAGUUUGAUCAUGGCUCAGAUUGAACGCUGGCGGUAUGCUUAACACAUGCAAGUCGAACGGUAACAGGCCUUCGGGCGCUGACGAGUGGCGGACGGGUGAGUAACGCGUAGGAAUCUGCCUUAUAGUGGGGGACAACGUGGGGAAACCCACGCUAAUACCGCAUACGCCCUACGGGGGAAAGCGGGGGAUCGCAAGACCUCGCGCUAUGAGAUGAGCCUGCGUUAGAUUAGCUAGUUGGUAGGGUAAAAGCCUACCAAGGCGACGAUCUAUAGCUGGUCUGAGAGGACGAUCAGCCACACUGGGACUGAGACACGGCCCAGACUCCUACGGGAGGCAGCAGUGGGGAAUAUUGGACAAUGGGCGCAAGCCUGAUCCAGCAAUACCGCGUGUGUGAAGAAGGCCCUAGGGUUGUAAAGCACUUUCAAUGGGGAGGAAAACCUGCCGGUCAAUACCCGGUAGCUUGACAUUACCUAUAGAAGAAGCACCGGCUAACUCCGUGCCAGCAGCCGCGGUAAUACGGAGGGUGCGAGCGUUAAUCGGAAUUACUGGGCGUAAAGCGUGCGUAGGCGGCUCGUUAAGUCAGAUGUGAAAGCCCUGGGCUCAACCUGGGAACUGCACUUGAAACUGGCGAGCUAGAGUUGAGU
This 645-nucleotide ribosomal RNA is filed under the name uncultured Methylobacter sp. Its description in RNAcentral is "bacterial SSU rRNA". It matches the Rfam family "Bacterial small subunit ribosomal RNA", at positions 9 to 652 of the family's 1533-position model. The record is from RNAcentral. Lineage: Bacteria; Pseudomonadati; Pseudomonadota; Gammaproteobacteria; Methylococcales; Methylococcaceae.